Molecule: ribosomal RNA, 832 nt
Filed under: Buchananella hordeovulneris
Lineage: Bacteria; Bacillati; Actinomycetota; Actinomycetes; Actinomycetales; Actinomycetaceae
Description: bacterial SSU rRNA
Source: RNAcentral
UGCCAGCAGCCGCGGUAAUACGUAGGGCGCAAGCGUUGUCCGGAAUUAUUGGGCGUAAAGAGCUCGUAGGCGGUUUGUCGCGUCUGUCGUGAAAACCCACAGCUUAACUGUGGGCUUGCGGUGGGUACGGGCAGGCUUGAGUGCGGUAGGGGAGACUGGAAUUCCUGGUGUAGCGGUGGAAUGCGCAGAUAUCAGGAGGAACACCGGUGGCGAAGGCGGGUCUCUGGGCCGUUACUGACGCUGAGGAGCGAAAGCAUGGGGAGCGAACAGGAUUAGAUACCCUGGUAGUCCAUGCCGUAAACGUUGGGCACUAGGUGUGGGGGCUGUUUCCAUGGUUCCUGCGCCGUAGCUAACGCAUUAAGUGCCCCGCCUGGGGAGUACGGUCGCAAGGCUAAAACUCAAAGGAAUUGACGGGGGCCCGCACAAGCGGCGGAGCAUGCGGAUUAAUUCGAUGCAACGCGAAGAACCUUACCAAGGCUUGACAUACAUCCAGAGUCUGCAGAGAUGUGGGCGCAUUUAGUUGGGGGUGUACAGGUGGUGCAUGGUUGUCGUCAGCUCGUGUCGUGAGAUGUUGGAGUUAAGUCCCGCAACGAGCGCAACCCUUGUCUCAUGUUGCCAGCACGUUAUGGUGGGGACUCGUGARAGACUGCCGGGGUUAACUCGGAGGAAGGUGGGGAUGACGUCAAAUCAUCAUGCCCCUUAUGUCUUGGGCUUCACGCAUGCUACAAUGGCCAGUACAGAGGGUUGCGAUAUCGUGAGGUUGAGCGAAUCCCUUAAAGCUGGUCUCAGUUCGGAUUGGGGUCUGCAACUCGACCCCAUGAAGUCGGAGUCG